This 343-nucleotide unclassified non-coding RNA is filed under the name soil metagenome. RNAcentral's name for it is "partial contains 5.8S ribosomal RNA, internal transcribed spacer 2, and large subunit ribosomal RNA". The stretch from base 2 to 121 matches the Rfam family "5.8S ribosomal RNA", at positions 35 to 154 of the family's 154-position model. The record is from RNAcentral.
GGAUGAAGAACGCAGCGAAAUGCGAUAAGUAAUGUGAAUUGCAGAAUUCAGUGAAUCAUCGAAUCUUUGAACGCACAUUGCGCCCCUUGGUAUUCCGAGGGGCAUGCCUGUUCGAGCGUCAUUAUCAACCGUCAAGCCCGGCUUGUUAUUGGGCACCUAUCGCUCCUCAGUGAUUGGCCCGAAAGAUAAUGGCGGUGUCAAGAUUAGACCCCAGGUGCAGCGAGCUCUAAGCAUACACUGAGGUGGUCGUUUUGGCCUAGCUUUUAACUAUUGAAUUUUUCAAGGUUGACCGCGGAUCAGGUAGGAUUACCCGCUGAACUUAAGCAUAUCAAUAAGCGGAGGA